CAAGGAUGGGUAGGCUUACAGUCCCAGUUGGAUUGGGUCAGGAUUAACAUUUCUUACAGUUGGUUAGUGUAGAGCAUGAUAGUGUAGUGUCUUGUAGCUGUAGAUUUUCUUCCAGCAUUUUUCUACUAUUUUUACUCCCUUCUGUAGACUUGUUGGGUGGACCGACGAUAUUGAGGGCGAUACCCACUGAGGACUACUUGUGUUUAUAGUAGUUCUCACGCCCAGUUGUUACUCUUCUUUUGCAGAGCCAUCGGUUCCGACUGCUGCAUCUUCUGAGGCAGAUCGUGGUAAGGGCUUUGCAAGCUAGAGCCCUACCCGACGAGUCACCGAGCUAGAGGAUUACCAGCUGCAGGUAGUGCUAGUUUUUUUGAGUUUCUUAUAUAUACUAGUUGUAUCUCGUUGGGCGAGUUUUUUGAAUACCUGGAUGUAUGUAUGUAUAUGGAACUUGUUCCUAUUUAUACCUGUUUUAUUCGAGGGUUGUAGUACUGUAUAUGUUACAGGUACAGCUACGCUUCGUAUAUAAAAAAAAUUUCUUUGUGUACGGCGGAUUUUUCGGCGUGUCCGGAAAACGUGUAAUUCGGGACGUGACAAAAUGUUUAAAUUGAAUACUACUAAAUUAAUAUUUUCAAAAUAAUGUACAAAUAUACUUAAGUUGUAAUUAAUUUAUUCUAAUACUUAAUUUAUUAAAUCAUAUUUAAUUAUUAUAUUCAAGGGCAAAUUUGUCAUUCUAUUUAAUUUUUAUUUUUUUAAUAUCUUAUUCCAACAUAAACAUCCAAUCACUAUCAAGAAUAUUCUCUAUAAAUAAACCAACAACAACCAAACGUAAUUUACAACUUGUUCUAGUUUAUACUCGAAUAUCUCUUGUUCUCAAAAACAACAAAAAAUAUUCUUCAAAAUUUAGUUCUCAAACCAAACUAAUAUUUCUACAAAUCUUGAAAAGACAAAAAUGAGAGAAAAUAAGAAAAGAGAGCAUAUGGGAGGAACGGAGAAA
This 991-nucleotide long non-coding RNA is filed under the name Ananas comosus (pineapple). Its description in RNAcentral is "long non-coding RNA (ACOM_LNC039539)". The record is from RNAcentral. Lineage: Eukaryota; Viridiplantae; Streptophyta; Magnoliopsida; Poales; Bromeliaceae.